GCUGCAGGUGAGGCAUUCGUUCCGAAUUAAUUUCGGGAAGGAAAGUCCGGACAGCACAGAGCGCCGCACCACCUAACGGGUGGCUGUUUUAAUCGAAACACGAGACAGUGCCACAGAGAAUAACUUCCCUGAUGCAAACCAGGGUAAAGGUGCAAACGUGAAGUAAGAGCUCACGCUUCAACGUGGUAACAUUUUGAAGGGGUAAACCUUGCGGGCUGUAAGGUCAAAUAUGUUCUGAAUUCUUUCUUUAGGGAAAGAGGUUUAGUUGCUCGCUGAACGUAUUGAAAGAUACCAUCAGGAUGGGUAGACCGCUACAUCUCUGCGGCGACGCAGAGAGCAGAUAAAUGAAUGCCAUCCAAUGCAAAUUGGAGACAGAAUCCGGCUUAUGAUCCUGCAGCUUUU
RNAcentral lists this RNase P RNA (402 nucleotides) under Chitinophagales bacterium. RNAcentral's name for it is "RNase P RNA component class A". It matches the Rfam family "Bacterial RNase P class A". From Rfam's summary of the family: Ribonuclease P (RNase P) is a ubiquitous endoribonuclease, found in archaea, bacteria and eukarya as well as chloroplasts and mitochondria. Its best characterised activity is the generation of mature 5'-ends of tRNAs by cleaving the 5'-leader elements of precursor-tRNAs. Cellular RNase Ps are ribonucleoproteins. Lineage: Bacteria; Pseudomonadati; Bacteroidota; Chitinophagia; Chitinophagales. The record is from RNAcentral.